UUUUUUGCAGCAGUGGCUCCAGGUUGCUUGAUGUGCCUACAUGCUCCUCUGGAUCCUCCUUGGUGUCCAUAGUCUUUGGAAGUGAUCAAGAUUCCACGCCACCACCAUCAUUAUGUGUUGGAAAACAGCAGAUGGCCUGGAACUUGUGAAGAAAUCAUAUGCACUGCACUCAAGUACUGUUGUGGGGUGACCUGUUGCCUGACAAGGAUGGGGACAGCACCUGGAGUCAGACGUGUUCUUUGACCCUUGGAGAGAAAACGACAACACUAAUUCGAAC
Molecule: long non-coding RNA, 277 nt
Organism: Engraulis encrasicolus (European anchovy)
Lineage: Eukaryota; Metazoa; Chordata; Actinopteri; Clupeiformes; Engraulidae
Exons: 3
Source: RefSeq, a predicted model, not a curated record